RNAcentral lists this ribosomal RNA (767 nucleotides) under Bacillus cereus. RNAcentral describes it as "bacterial SSU rRNA". It matches the Rfam family "Bacterial small subunit ribosomal RNA", at positions 37 to 784 of the family's 1533-position model. Lineage: Bacteria; Bacillati; Bacillota; Bacilli; Caryophanales; Bacillaceae. The record is from RNAcentral.
GUGCGGCGUACCUAAUACAUGCAAGUCGAGCGAAUGGAUUAAGAGCUUGCUCUUAUGAAGUUAGCGGCGGACGGGUGAGUAACACGUGGGUAACCUGCCCAUAAGACUGGGAUAACUCCGGGAAACCGGGGCUAAUACCGGAUAACAUUUUGAACCGCAUGGUUCGAAAUUGAAAGGCGGCUUCGGCUGUCACUUAUGGAUGGACCCGCGUCGCAUUAGCUAGUUGGUGAGGUAACGGCUCACCAAGGCAACGAUGCGUAGCCGACCUGAGAGGGUGAUCGGCCACACUGGGACUGAGACACGGCCCAGACUCCUACGGGAGGCAGCAGUAGGGAAUCUUCCGCAAUGGACGAAAGUCUGACGGAGCAACGCCGCGUGAGUGAUGAAGGCUUUCGGGUCGUAAAACUCUGUUGUUAGGGAAGAACAAGUGCUAGUUGAAUAAGCUGGCACCUUGACGGUACCUAACCAGAAAGCCACGGCUAACUACGUGCCAGCAGCCGCGGUAAUACGUAGGUGGCAAGCGUUAUCCGGAAUUAUUGGGCGUAAAGCGCGCGCAGGUGGUUUCUUAAGUCUGAUGUGAAAGCCCACGGCUCAACCGUGGAGGGUCAUUGGAAACUGGGAGACUUGAGUGCAGAAGAGGAAAGUGGAAUUCCAUGUGUAGCGGUGAAAUGCGUAGAGAUAUGGAGGAACACCAGUGGCGAAGGCGACUUUCUGGUCUGUAACUGACACUGAGGCGCGAAAGCGUGGGGAGCAAACAGGAUUAGAAC